UAGAAAUACUGGAUAUUAAAAAAAUGUAAAAAGAAAAAAAAGGUUUGCCAUGUCACCGAUGUUAUCCAACUCAGUAGUUUCAUGUGUGCACCGUUAGUCCAGUCAGCUUUUUUUUAACAGAAUUUUAACCUCAGAGACUAACGUCAACACAAAAGUGAGAUAUAGGGACGUAGACAAAAAAAAGAUACAAAGACCAAAUUCAAAAACUCGCUAACUUACAGGGAUCAAUAGACUAUUUAAGCCUAAAUUAUAAAAUGCUUUUGAAAAUCUAUG
Molecule: long non-coding RNA, 273 nt
Filed under: Lathyrus oleraceus (garden pea)
Lineage: Eukaryota; Viridiplantae; Streptophyta; Magnoliopsida; Fabales; Fabaceae
Description: Pisum sativum (pea) long non-coding RNA (PSAT_LNC023400)
Source: RNAcentral